This 483-nucleotide ribosomal RNA is filed under the name uncultured bacterium. RNAcentral describes it as "bacterial SSU rRNA". It matches the Rfam family "Bacterial small subunit ribosomal RNA", at positions 30 to 508 of the family's 1533-position model. The record is from RNAcentral.
AUUGAACGCUGGCGGCAUGCCUUACACAUGCAAGUCGAACGGUAACAGGUCUUCGGACGCUGACGAGUGGCGAACGGGUGAGUAAUACAUCGGAACGUGCCCAGUCGUGGGGGAUAACUACUCGAAAGAGUAGCUAAUACCGCAUACGAUCUGAGGAUGAAAGCGGGGGACCUUCGGGCCUCGCGCGAUUGGAGCGGCCGAUGGCAGAUUAGGUAGUUGGUGGGAUAAAAGCUUACCAAGCCGACGAUCUGUAGCUGGUCUGAGAGGACGACCAGCCACACCGGGACUGAGACACGGCCCAGACUCCUACGGGAGGCAGCAGUGGGGAAUUUUGGACAAUGGGCGAAAGCCUGAUCCAGCAAUGCCGCGUGCAGGAUGAAGGCCUUCGGGUUGUAAACUGCUUUUGUACGGAACGAAAAAGCUUCUCCUAAUACGAGAGGCCCAUGACGGUACCGUAAGAAUAAGCACCGGCUAACUACGUGC